This is a non-coding RNA of Pelobates cultripes (western spadefoot toad), 413 nucleotides long. Lineage: Eukaryota; Metazoa; Chordata; Amphibia; Anura; Pelobatidae. The record is from the annotation of a GenBank genome assembly.
CUAACAUGUAAACUCACUGAGCAGGGCCCUCAAUCCCUCUGUUACUGUGUCACUAUACCCUACUCCCUCUAACAUGUAAACUCACUGAGCAGGGCCCUCAAUCCCUCUGUUACUGUGUCACUAUACCCCACUCCCUCUAACAUGUAAACUCACUGAGCAGGCCCUCAAUCCCUCUGUUACUGUGUCACUAUACCCCACUCCCUCCAACAUGUAAGCUCACUGAGCAGGGCCCUCAAUCCCUCUGUUACUGUGUCACUAUACCCCACUCCCUCUAACAUGUAAACUCACUGAGCAGGCCCUCAAUCCUCUGUUACUGUGUCACUAUACCCCACUCCCUCUAACAUGUAAACUCACUGAGCAGGGCCCUCAAUCCCUCUGUUACUGUAUCACUAUACCCCACUCCCUCUAACAUG